Long non-coding RNA from Haliotis rufescens (red abalone), 241 nucleotides. RefSeq lists it as uncharacterized. The record is from RefSeq and is a predicted model, not a curated record. The transcript is spliced from 3 exons. NCBI's taxonomy places the organism in Eukaryota, Metazoa, Mollusca, Gastropoda, Lepetellida, Haliotidae.
CAGCAGAUGAACACAUCGCCCAUUAACGCUACGCUGAUCACACAACUGCAUCAUGCCUGCACUGAUGGUAGUGUCCAUUGCUUACCUGGUCACAUCUGCAGCUGCCAGUUGCAGUGAAAAUCAACACUGCCGAGACUGUGACAGCAGGAGUGGCUUUUGCCUAACCACGUGUGACAGUGGUUAUUACGACCUUAAAUGUAGGUCUCUUUGCAGCAGCAGCUGUAAAAAUAAGAAAUGUAAA